UAACUCAAAUAAAGUCCAAACCCAAAUCAAAUCAAUAGUCCGGUAUGGACAAGUUCACUAAAAAUUAUAGCAUAAAAAGCAUGCUAUAAAGCCAAAUUCACUCAAAAAAAAAACCGAAGGAAGCACAUUAUAACAUAAAAAGCAUGCUGAAACUGAAAAUCAAGGAGUCUAUAAAGUUCAUAUUUCAGCAUAAAUUAUUUGACCCAAAAGUGUAUCAAGAACCACAUUCACUUGCUCCAUCGAUACCACCCAGCCUUUUUUUAUAAUUCCAUCGCUGUUUCAAUAAUCAAAUUAAGAAUGAGUUCAAAGUUAUCAAAAUGAGACACAACAAGCUUAAGCAUUCAGCAUUGAGUUCCUCCUGCACUCGGACAACAUAUCCAUGUAGAAUU
RNAcentral lists this long non-coding RNA (389 nucleotides) under Nicotiana benthamiana. Its description in RNAcentral is "long non-coding RNA (NBEN_LNC002107)". The record is from RNAcentral. Lineage: Eukaryota; Viridiplantae; Streptophyta; Magnoliopsida; Solanales; Solanaceae.